Long non-coding RNA from Oncorhynchus tshawytscha (Chinook salmon), 1287 nucleotides. The record is from Ensembl. Lineage: Eukaryota; Metazoa; Chordata; Actinopteri; Salmoniformes; Salmonidae.
UCAGAUGUACUGGUAUAGAUAUCACCACCCAGUCAGAUGUACUGGUAUAGAUAUCACCACCCAGUCAGAUGUACUGGUAUAGAUAUCACCACCCAGUCAGAUGUACUGGUAUAGAUAUCACCACCCAGUCAGAUGUACUGGUAUAGAUAUCACCACCCAGUCAGAUGUACUGGUAUAGACAUCACCACUGUCAGAUGUACUGGUAUAGAUAUCACCACCCAAUCAGAUGAUAUAGAUAUCACCACCCAGUCAGAUGAUAUAGAUAUCACCACCAACCCAGUCAGAUGUACUGGUAUAGAUAUCACCACCCAAUCAGAUGAUAUAGAUAUCACCACCCAGUCAGAUGAUAUAGAUAUCACCACCAACCCAGUCAGAUGUACUGGUAUAGAUAUCACCACCCAGUCAGAUGAUAUAGAUAUCACCACCAACCCAGUCAGAUGUACUGGUAUAGAUAUCACCACCCAGUCAGAUGGUAUAGAUAUCACCACCAACCCAGUCAGAUGGUAUAGAUAUCACCACCCAGUCAGAUGUACUGGUAUAGAUAUCACAACCCAGUCAGAUGGUAUAGAUAUCACCACCCAUUCAGAUAUACUGGUAUAGAUAUCACCACCCAGUCAGAUGGUAUAGAUAUCACCACCCAGUCAGAUGUACUGGUAUAGAUAUCACCACCCAGUCAGAUAUACUGGUAUAGAUAUCACCACCCAGUCAGAUGUACUGGUAUAGAUAUCACCACCCAGUCAGAUGAUAUAGAUAUCAUCACCCAGUCAGAUGGUAUAGAUAUCACCACCCAGUCAGAUAUACUGAUAUAGAUAUCACCACCCAUUCAGAUAUACUGGUAUAGAUAUCACCACCCAGUAAGAUGGUAUAGAUAUCACCACCCAGUCAGAUAUACUGGUAUAGAUAUCACCACCCAGUCAGAUGGUAUAGAUAUCACCACCCAGUCAGAUGUACUGGUAUAGAUAUCACCACCCAGUCAGAUAUACUGGUAUAGAUAUCACCACCCAGUCAGAUGUACUGGUAUAGAUAUCACCACCCAGUCAGAUAUACUGGUAUAGAUAUCACCACCCAGUCAGAUGUACUGGUAUAGAUAUCACCACCCAGUCAGAUGGUAUAGAUAUCACCACCCAGUCAGAUGUACUGGUAUAGAUAUCACCACCCAGUCAGAUGUACUGGUAUAGAUAUCACAACCCAGUCAGAUGUACUGGUAUAGAUAUCACCACCCAGUCAGAUGUACUGGUAUAGAUAUCACAACCCAGUCAGGGGGGCAGUAGGGGGCAGUAGGGGCAG